AUUGAACGCUGGCGGCAGGCCUAACACAUGCAAGUCGAGCGGAUGAAGGGAGCUUGCUCCUGGAUUCAGCGGCGGACGGGUGAGUAAUGCCUAGGAAUCUGCCUGGUAGUGGGGGAUAACGUCCGGACACGGGCGCUAAUACCGCAUACGUCCUGAGGGAGAAAGUGGGGGAUCUUCGGACCUCACGCUAUCAGAUGAGCCUAGGUCGGAUUAGCUAGUUGGUGGGGUAAAGGCCUACCAAGGCGACGAUCCGUAACUGGUCUGAGAGGAGGAUCAGUCACACUAGAACGGAGACACGGUCCAGACUCCUACGGGAGGCAGCAGUGGGGAAUAUUGGACAAUGGGCGAAAGCCUGAUCCAGCCAUGCCGCGGGUGUGAAGAAGGUCUUCGGAUUGUAAAGCACUUUAAGUUGGGAGGAAGGGCAGUAAGUUAAUACCUGGCUGUGUUGACGUUACCAACAGAAUAAGCACCGGCUAACUACGUG
Molecule: ribosomal RNA, 484 nt
Filed under: uncultured bacterium
Lineage: Bacteria
Description: partial 16S ribosomal RNA
Rfam family: Bacterial small subunit ribosomal RNA
Source: RNAcentral